This is a long non-coding RNA of Myripristis murdjan (pinecone soldierfish), 84 nucleotides long. RefSeq lists it as uncharacterized. The record is from RefSeq and is a predicted model, not a curated record. Lineage: Eukaryota; Metazoa; Chordata; Actinopteri; Holocentriformes; Holocentridae. The transcript has 3 exons.
UCUUUACUAAUCAAGUUCAAGUUCAAGUUUAUUUAGAGUCCAAUAUCACUGUUCACAGUCUCAGAGGGCUUUACAUGCCGACAU